Molecule: ribosomal RNA, 301 nt
Filed under: uncultured bacterium
Lineage: Bacteria
Description: partial 16S ribosomal RNA
Rfam family: Bacterial small subunit ribosomal RNA
Source: RNAcentral
CAGUCGCCACGGUAAUACGAAGGGGGCUAGCGUUGCUCGGAAUGACUGGGCGUAAAGGGCGCGUAGGCGGUUCGUACAGUUGGAUGUGAAAUUCCUGGGCUUAACCUGGGGGCUGCAUUCAAUACGUGCGGGCUUGAGUGUGGAAGAGGGUUGUGGAAUUCCCAGUGUAGAGGUGAAAUUCGUAGAUAUUGGGAAGAACACCGGUGGCGAAGGCGGCAACCUGGUCCAUAACUGACGCUGAGGCGCGGAAGCGUGGGGAGCAAACAGGAUUAGAUACCCGCGUAGUCCCUGUCUCUUAUAC